RNAcentral lists this ribosomal RNA (774 nucleotides) under uncultured bacterium. RNAcentral's name for it is "bacterial SSU rRNA". It matches the Rfam family "Bacterial small subunit ribosomal RNA", at positions 1 to 760 of the family's 1533-position model. The record is from RNAcentral.
UAGAGUUUGAUCAUGGCUCAGAUUGAACGCUGGCGGCAGGCCUAACACAUGCAAGUCGAGCGGAAACGAGUUAUCUGAACCUUCGGGGAACGAUAACGGCGUCGAGCGGCGGACGGGUGAGUAAUGCCUAGGAAAUUGCCCUGAUGUGGGGGAUAACCAUUGGAAACGAUGGCUAAUACCGCAUAACGCCUACGGGCCAAAGAGGGGGACCUUCGGGCCUCUCGCGUCAGGAUAUGCCUAGGUGGGAUUAGCUAGUUGGUGAGGUAAGGGCUCACCAAGGCGACGAUCCCUAGCUGGUCUGAGAGGAUGAUCAGCCACACUGGAACUGAGACACGGUCCAGACUCCUACGGGAGGCAGCAGUGGGGAAUAUUGCACAAUGGGCGCAAGCCUGAUGCAGCCAUGCCGCGUGUGUGAAGAAGGCCUUCGGGUUGUAAAGCACUUUCAGUCGUGAGGAAGGUGGUAGUGUUAAUAGCACUAUCAUUUGACGUUAGCGACAGAAGAAGCACCGGCUAACUCCGUGCCAGCAGCCGCGGUAAUACGGAGGGUGCGAGCGUUAAUCGGAAUUACUGGGCGUAAAGCGCAUGCAGGUGGUUUGUUAAGUCAGAUGUGAAAGCCCGGGGCUCAACCUCGGAAUAGCAUUUGAAACUGGCAGACUAGAGUACUGUAGAGGGGGGUAGAAUUUCAGGUGUAGCGGUGAAAUGCGUAGAGAUCUGAAGGAAUACCGGUGGCGAAGGCGGCCCCCUGGACAGAUACUGACACUCAGAUGCGAAAGC